This 497-nucleotide ribosomal RNA is filed under the name uncultured bacterium. Its description in RNAcentral is "partial 16S ribosomal RNA". It matches the Rfam family "Bacterial small subunit ribosomal RNA", at positions 28 to 507 of the family's 1533-position model. The record is from RNAcentral.
GAUGAACGCUGGCGGUGUGCCUAAUACAUGCAAGUCGAGCGAACAGACGAGGAGCUUACUCCUCUGACGUUAGCGGCGGACGGGUGAGUAACACGUGGAUAACCUACCUAUAAGACUGGGAUAACUUCGGGAAACCGGAGCUAAUACCGGAUAACAUGUUGAACCGCAUGGUUCAACAGUGAAAGACGGUCUUGCUGUCACUUAUAGAUGGAUCCGCGUCGCAUUAGCUAGUUGGUAAGGUAACGGCUUACCAAGGCAACGAUGCGUAGCCGACCUGAGAGGGUGAUCGGCCACACUGGAACUGAGACACGGUCCAGACUCCUACGGGAGGCAGCAGUAGGGAAUCUUCCGCAAUGGGCGAAAGCCUGACGGAGCAACGCCGCGUGAGUGAAGAAGGUCUUCGGAUUGUAAAACUCUGUUAUUAGGGAAGAACAAAUGUGUAAGUAACUAUGCACGUCUUGACGGUACCUAAUCAGAAAGCCACGGCUAACUACGUG